GAUGAAGAACGCAGCGAAAUGCGAUAAGUAAUGUGAAUUGCAGAAUUCAGUGAAUCAUCGAAUCUUUGAACGCACAUUGCGCCCGCCAGUAUUCUGGCGGGCAUGCCUGUUCGAGCGUCAUUUCAACCAUCAAGCCCCCGGGCUUGUGUUGGGGACCUGCGGCUGCCGCAGGCCCUGAAAACCAGUGGCGGGCUCGCUAGUCACUCCGAGCGUAGUAGUUACAUCUCGCUCAGGGCGUGCUGCGGGUUCCGGCCGUUAAAAGCCUUUUAACCCAAGGUUGACCUCGGAUCAGGUAGGAAGACCCGCUGAACUUAAGCAUAUCAAUAAGCGGAGGA
RNAcentral lists this unclassified non-coding RNA (335 nucleotides) under soil metagenome. Its description in RNAcentral is "partial contains 5.8S ribosomal RNA, internal transcribed spacer 2, and large subunit ribosomal RNA". The stretch from base 1 to 120 matches the Rfam family "5.8S ribosomal RNA", at positions 35 to 154 of the family's 154-position model. The record is from RNAcentral.